RNAcentral lists this unclassified non-coding RNA (248 nucleotides) under Hevea brasiliensis (rubber tree). The record is from RNAcentral. Lineage: Eukaryota; Viridiplantae; Streptophyta; Magnoliopsida; Malpighiales; Euphorbiaceae.
UUGUUGGUAGAGAGCUGCUGUCCUCAGAUGUUUCAUCAAGCAAAAAUGCAGACCCAGCUCUUGUGAACUUGCUCAAGGUCUCUUUUACAAGGUCUAAUUUCUCCUUGGCACAGUAAGUUUGACCAGCCCCCUUCAGACAGAAUAGAUCUGGCAAGAUUCCUUGAAGAAAUUGUCUGAUAAUUUACUGCUUCAUCCAUUCUGUUUUUUGAAAACCGAUGGUCGUGGUGAGAAGACCAGAAAAAAGCAGG